UCUAACGUCAUAAUUUUAUACGUCCAUUAAAACAAGUAACAGUGCAUAAAAUUUUGCAGUACACUAUUUCGUAGACAUAAAUUGGUCUGAUUGAUCUAGGGUGAAACACUGUUUUAUUUAACAAAGCAUACGUCGUCAUACAGUCGUCUUCAUGAAAUCCAGUUUUUAAUUUUUUGACCUGUGGUAUUAGUACCUUGAUAUAAUGUGGACUUAGUGUGCAUUGCUGUCUCCCGGUGAGAGGUUCCAACAGUUAGUGCAAGUUAACCUACUCUUCAACAGAAAUCUGAAAUUCUGAGUCACCGAAAAAGAACCUAAAGGUCCAGCUUGUCACCACUCCGAAUGGUUGAGAUGGAACGGACCUUAUGAACCAUGGCAGAUCACAAAUCACUAAUUCUUUUCUUGAGAUACAGGAGGGGUCUUAUUGUUAUAAAAGUUUCCACUGGCUUGAAUUGUAUUGUUAUAAAUAAAUAUAAAAAAUGAUAAGUCACUA
Homalodisca vitripennis (glassy-winged sharpshooter) is the source of this 490-nucleotide long non-coding RNA. RefSeq lists it as uncharacterized. The record is from RefSeq and is a predicted model, not a curated record. NCBI's taxonomy places the organism in Eukaryota, Metazoa, Arthropoda, Insecta, Hemiptera, Cicadellidae. The transcript has 2 exons.